GCUUAAGUGGUUAAGUAGUAAAGAUGUUAGCUUAUAGAUUAUAUAUAAUUAUCGUUACCGUAGCGAUAGUUAUAUAAAGAGAACUAAAGUCCCGGGUUUAAUUCCUAGCUUAGGUA
This 116-nucleotide transfer RNA is filed under the name Coniochaeta pulveracea. Its description in RNAcentral is "tRNA-Tyr". The record is from RNAcentral. Lineage: Eukaryota; Fungi; Ascomycota; Sordariomycetes; Coniochaetales; Coniochaetaceae.